This is a non-coding RNA of Pelobates cultripes (western spadefoot toad), 425 nucleotides long. The record is from the annotation of a GenBank genome assembly. NCBI's taxonomy places the organism in Eukaryota, Metazoa, Chordata, Amphibia, Anura, Pelobatidae.
CUUUGCUGUGUCUAUGAGCGUACUAUGGUGUGGGAGGGUUGCUAUGCUCUGAAUGUGUCAGGGUUGAUAUGGUUUUGCAGAGCGUUGAUUCUUGAUUAGAGUAUCGUAUUCCCCUGUUCGAUAUAGAUAGGCAUUACAGCCCUCCUAUCUCUGCGACCCAUUUUGUAAAUGAGAGGGGAGGUCUCUUUGCUGGGUACGGGAGGCAUGUAACCAGAAUUGUCGAUCUUGCAUGAACAUUUUCAAACACAAAGAAUAACUGCGAUUAACACAUAUGUGCAUAUGCACAUAUGUACAUAUGUCUCUGUGGGCCUUUCCUUUACCCCUUUAUUUGCUCGUAAUGUCCGGUCUGCUCCGAUAUUAAAUGCUAUCGUAUUAAUGUAGGAGCUAUUGGAGUAGGACCUGGGUUAUCCUGUAGUCGGGGCAUA